This 261-nucleotide unclassified non-coding RNA is filed under the name uncultured Chloroflexota bacterium. RNAcentral describes it as "uncultured Chloroflexi bacterium contains 16S-23S intergenic spacer region". Lineage: Bacteria; Bacillati; Chloroflexota. The record is from RNAcentral.
UCCGGGUUUCGCCCGGCAGUCUCCCUAGAACAUUCAACUAAGGACAGGGUUCUGCUUCUGCGAUGUCAAGCCUAGGUGAGGUUCUUCGCGUUGCAUCGAAUUAAACCACACGCUCCGCUGCUUGUGCGGGCCCCCGUCAAUUCCUUUGAGUUUUAGCCUUGCGGCCGUACUCCCCAGGCAGGGCACUUAAUGCGUUAGCUGCGGCACCGGAGGGGUCGAUACCCCCGACACCUAGUGCCCACCGUUUACGGCGUGGACUAC